RNAcentral lists this ribosomal RNA (1554 nucleotides) under Triticum aestivum (bread wheat). RNAcentral describes it as "partial small subunit ribosomal RNA". Lineage: Eukaryota; Viridiplantae; Streptophyta; Magnoliopsida; Poales; Poaceae. The record is from RNAcentral.
AUGGCGGCGGGUUCGCCGGAGCAGUUGCCACGAGGCGUGGAUGUAUUGGAGACCGUAGAGCUGACAGAGCUAGAGAAGAAGAUCUUCCAACGGCUUGUCAAUGUCGUCCGUCACUUCAAACUCGGCAUUGAGCUUCGCGUUGCCGGUGGUUGGGUUCGGGACAAGCUUGAUUUACCAAAAAUCCCGCCGAGUCCUAGUGGGCCUAGAUUCCGCGAUAAGUUCCGAGAAAUGGAGGAAAUGAUGCAUUCAAAGUUUGCAGAAUUCAACCCUGAUCAGUCAAAGCACUUGGAAACUGCUAACAUGAAAAUUUUCCUAAAAGGUGUUGAUUUUGUUAACUUGAGAUCUGAAAAAUAUGUUGGGAGCAGCCGUAUUCCUACCAUGAAGUUUGGCACAGCGGAAGAAGAUGCAUACCGUAGAGACCUAACAAUGAAUAGUUUAUUCUUCAACAUCAACAAUAACUCUGUGGAAGAUUUUACUCUAAGAGGUAUUGAUGACCUCAAAAGGGGCCUUAUUGCCACUCCUUUACCUGCCAAAGCUACCUUCUUGGAUGACCCACUAAGAGUUCUUCGAGCAAUUCGAUUUGCUGCUAGAUUCAACUUUGCAUUAUCCGAUGAGUUGAAGGAAGCUGCUUCAGACGAAAAAGUGAAAUUGGAACUUGGUCGCAAGAUUAGCAGAGAAUGUGUUGGCAAUGAGAUUAAUCUUAUGAUGUCAGGAAAACACCCAGCUGAAGCAAUGUCUCACAUCCGUGAUUUGGGGCUAUUUUACGUUGUAUUUUCUUUCCCUGAAACAUCUGACCCGCCAGGUUUUGACAACUGUGAUCGGUGUUGCGUUUCGCACAUUGAAGCAGCUUGGAACAUUGCAAUUUCUGUGCAUGACGGCGUUGAACAGCAACAGCUUUACCUCUAUAGUGCGCUCUUUUUCCCCCUCCGAAAGAUGUCCUGCUUGGACAAAAAAUCUAAUAAGGAGAUUCCCGCCACUAGCUAUAUUAUUAAGGAGUCAUUAAAGCUGGACGCAUGCGUUGCUAAAUCGGUUGUCAACAUACAUGCUGCCAGCAGAGAGUUUGCUGAAUUGGUUCUCCUCUUUGAAUCAAACGUCGCCUUGGGAGCACUCAAGGAGAAGCUCGAAGAUGCAUAUCUCGAUAUACCAACGGACAUGUUGAUGCGUGUAAAAGCAGGACUGAUACUUGAUGAAAUAAAGAACUUGUGGCGGGUGGCACUUCUCAUAUCCAUUCUCUCCUACCCAGAAGCUGGUGACACCCUCAGCCAGCAGGAUGAGCUGAGCCGGAGGAAAGAGAAGUACAUCAAAGUUGAGCGUUCCAUAACUGAUCUAGGUCUCGACGGGGUGUGGGAGUGGGAGCAGAAGCAGAAGCAAUUGGUUCGUGGCAACACCAUAAUGGGAGUUCUGCAGGUCAAGUCGGGAGGUCGACUGAUUGGAGAAUGGAAAGAACGCGUGUUCAAGUGGCGGCUUGCGCAUCCGGAAGGAACCAUGGAUGAUUGCAUCGAUUGGAUGAAGCGGUCCCAAUCAAAAUACCAAAAAGUAGAAUCCAGCAUCUGA